GUCAAGGGCAAGGAAAGGCAGCUGAUGCAGACUGUGUGGUGCCACCACCCACACACCUGUUCACUCUGCAGAAAGUGUUACUGGCCUCAGGUGCGGUGCCUUUCCCUGGAAGAGUCCUCAGAGUGCACAAAUCUCAUCCCCACUCACCAGGCCUAAGGUCCAAUCUCAGACAUUGCAUAUAGGCCAUGAAGACAGCCAACAAGGAGGGAGAAAGCCAGCCAGGGCUAAUGAGACAAAGUAGGUGAACGGAUUUUGUGCAGGGAUUCUCAGAAAACUGGACCCCUUGAAACUGCUGUAGCAUUUCCCCUAAGGAUCUCAACGAACGUUGCAAACAGGACUGGAUGACAUUCCACGUGAGACUCCCUCAGCAAUAGAUGUCAGAGCCAAGCCUGUAUCUGUGUCUCUAUUCCCAACCUCAAAAUGCUGCUGUUAACAUCUGGAAGAAAAAUCCAUUCAAAGAAUGCAGUUUUGGACUUUUGGGGGGAGUCGGACAGCCUGCAUGCAAAAUAUUUAGUUACAAAUUCUGUGAAGCGCACUGAUCUUUAACAGCAUUUUCUGCUUUUACAAAGAUUUUCCUGUUACUUUGUUCCGGUCGCAAAAUUUAAAAAAAAAACCAAAAACUUAAACUUGGGAGAGAUAAGGUCUGGAAAACAAUCUGGAAUUGCCAGUCUGUUGGUGGGAGCUCUGCAGGGCUGGCGUCAGGAAGUCUGCGCCGCCUUCUAUUACUGUUGAUCCAGCUUUGUGCAGCUGCACUUAGUACAAUUAGCUUGUAGAAACAAUCCUGCUGUAGGCAGCCUCUUCCCUUCAAAGUGCUUUUCUAUACUGAUCCCCUCACAUCAUGAUGCUGGAAAUCAAGUCACAAGCUGACCACUGUUUGGCCAACAUCAUCUGUGGGAAUUCAUUAACCUCCAUCUCAGCGAUGCAACAAGAGAUUGUUUGUCCAGAACCAAAUUUACAGCUUAAUAUUAUGAUGUAGCCCAUACAGGAAAAAACCUGUGUCCCAUUUUUUGUUGUUGGCUAUAACAAGAAACACAUUGUGCUUACAGAGUGGGGAAUGUAGCUGAAACCAAGCAUAAGCCGGCUCCUGCUAAAACUUUGCCAUCGAAGUGAUUGUUUUUUGGUUAAUCAGCCUGCAGUUUCCAUAGAAGCAACUUAUCCCCUCAAUCAUUUUGCUGGGUGCACUUUGCAAGCUCAUUUCCCGUCUGAGUUUGCUCUGCUACUCUCAGAUGCUGCUGCUGACACAUUUCCUCCCCUUGCACUUUGCACCCACCUUAUCCCUGCCCGAGAUGCUCAGGGCUGAUUGUGUCUAGAGGGGGGCGUUCAACGCAAACUGCAACUGCUGUGGGGGUUGGGAUUGGCCCCCACCCCCCACACAUACUUUCCGCUGCUUGAUCAGAUCUAGGCCAUGCAAUCACUGAACAGCAAACAGCCCCCCGCCCCCGUCUCCUUCCUAUCCAUCGCCUCAGUCCCAGAUUGCAGGGACACCAACUGCUGCUCCUGCAAGCUCUUUGCCACGCGCCUGUCGUGUGCUGCUAUGUGUAAACCUCACUGGUGGCUCACGCGACUCCACUUCCAGCAGCGGCCCCAGGAGGGGAGAGAGCAGGGGCGGAGAGUAACAGCAGGGAGGUGGGUGUGGGGAGCUGGCUACAGAGCAUGGUGGAAUAGCUGCAGUUGUGGGUUGAAUCAGCAGGAGGAGGAGGCUGCUGCAUGGGGAGGGCCAGCAACAGACUGCAAAGAUCCCCUUCAUCCAUUUCUCCAGCCACUGUCUUGACAAGGGAUCCAUCAAUCACCCCAGUGCCCUGAGGACGUUUGCGCCUAAACUCUGGCCUGGCCCCAAACACCCUGCACAUCCCGGGGACAUUCGGGACUAAAAUCCCCAGCCCUAAUGUCCUCACGCACUCCCAGGGAUGUUCGUGAUCAAACACCCCAUUUCCAACGCUCCUAUCUGCCCCCUGGGGACAUUCAUGAUUAACUCUCCUUUUCCCAAUGUCCCCACAUCCCCUGGGGAAUGUUCAUGAUUGAACAGCCCCACGUGCAGUGGGGAUGUUGGUGCCUGAAUCCCAGUUCCCAAUGCCCCUGUACAUCCCCAGGAAUGUUUGUGCUCAAAUCCUAGUUCCCAACACCCCUGUAUACCCUCAGGAAUUUUCAUGCUUAAACCCUGGGUCCCAGCACCCUAAGGGACAUUUGUGCCUGAUCCGUGGUUCCCACCAUCCCUGUGAACCCCCGAGGAUGUUCAGGCUUGAACCCUGGUUGCCAUUGCCUCCAGAGAUGUUUGUGCCUGAACGCCACUUCCAACCCUCUUCCCUGUGCAACCUGGAACCUCAGUUGCAACCUGUCCCCAUCCUCACUCACUCCAGGGACAUUUGAAUCCAAACCCCAGACCUAUGUGCCUGGGGACGGGCUUCUUUAACAUAGAA
Molecule: long non-coding RNA, 2417 nt
Organism: Mauremys reevesii (Reeves's turtle)
Lineage: Eukaryota; Metazoa; Chordata; Testudines; Geoemydidae
Exons: 4
Source: RefSeq, a predicted model, not a curated record